RNAcentral lists this ribosomal RNA (404 nucleotides) under uncultured bacterium. RNAcentral's name for it is "bacterial SSU rRNA". It matches the Rfam family "Bacterial small subunit ribosomal RNA", at positions 362 to 757 of the family's 1533-position model. The record is from RNAcentral.
UUUUGGACAAUGGGCGCAAGCCUGAUCCAGCCAUUCCGCGUGAGUGAAGAAGGCCUUCGGGUUGUAAAGCUCUUUCGCAAGGGAAGAACCCCUUACUUUCUAAUAAAGAGUGAGGUUGACGGUACCUUGAUAAGAAGCACCGGCUAACUACGUGCCAGCAGCCGCGGUAAUACGUAGGGUGCGAGCGUUAAUCGGAAUUACUGGGCGUAAAGCGUGCGCAGGCGGCUUUGUAAGUCAGAUGUGAAAUCCCCGAGCUCAACUUGGGAACUGCGUUUGAAACUACAAGGCUAGAAUAUGUCAGAGGGGGGUAGAAUUCCACGUGUAGCAGUGAAAUGCGUAGAGAUGUGGAGGAAUACCAAUGGCGAAGGCAGCCCCCUGGGAUGAUAUUGACGCUCAUGCACGAA